UCCGGUUUGUCACCGGCAGUCCCAUUAGAGUGCUCAACUGAAUGUAGCAACUAAUGGCAAGGGUUGCGCUCGUUGCGGGACUUAACCCAACAUCUCACGACACGAGUUGACGACAGCCAUGCAGCACCUGUGUCUAGGUUCCCUUUCGGGCACUCCUCCAUCUCUGGAGGAUUCCUAGCAUGUCAAACCUAGGUAAGGUUCUUCGCGUUGCAUCGAAUUAAUCCGCAUGCUCCGCCGCUUGUGCGGGCCCCCGUCAAUUCCUUUGAGUUUUAGCCUUGCGGCCGUACUCCCCAGGCGGGGCGCUUAAUGCGUUAGCUGCGGCACGGAACUCGUGGAAUGAGUCCCACACCUAGCGCCCAACGUUUACGGCGUGGACUAC
This 379-nucleotide unclassified non-coding RNA is filed under the name uncultured bacterium. RNAcentral's name for it is "contains 16S-23S intergenic spacer region". The record is from RNAcentral.